GCUCUGUGUUGUCUCAAUAGAUCCAGCUGACCCUUCACUGAGCGCUCAGUAGGAUAGAAGGGAAUUGAAGUAAUCUAUGGCUGAGAGA
Small nucleolar RNA from Rhea pennata, 88 nucleotides. NCBI's taxonomy places the organism in Eukaryota, Metazoa, Chordata, Aves, Rheiformes, Rheidae. The record is from RefSeq and is a predicted model, not a curated record.